RNAcentral lists this ribosomal RNA (496 nucleotides) under uncultured bacterium. RNAcentral describes it as "partial 16S ribosomal RNA". It matches the Rfam family "Bacterial small subunit ribosomal RNA", at positions 29 to 507 of the family's 1533-position model. The record is from RNAcentral.
AUGAACGCUGGCGGCGUGCCUAAUACAUGCAAGUCGAGCGAACAGACGAGGAGCUUGCUCCUCUGAUGUUAGCGGCGGACGGGUGAGUAACACGUGGAUAACCUACCUAUAAGACUGGGAUAACUUCGGGAAACCGGAGCUAAUACCGGAUAACAUGUUGAACCGCAUGGUUCAACAGUGAAAGACGGUCUUGCUGUCACUUAUAGAUGGAUCCGCGCCGCAUUAGCUAGUUGGUAAGGUAACGGCUUACCAAGGCAACGAUGCGUAGCCGACCUGAGAGGGUGAUCGGCCACACUGGAACUGAGACACGGUCCAGACUCCUACGGGAGGCAGCAGUAGGGAAUCUUCCGCAAUGGGCGAAAGCCUGACGGAGCAACGCCGCGUGAGUGAAGAAGGUCUUCGGAUCGUAAAACUCUGUUAUUAGGGAAGAACAAAUGUGUAAUUAACUAUGCACGUCUUGACGGUACCUAAUCAGAAAGCCACGGCUAACUACGUG